Phragmites australis (common reed) is the source of this 3559-nucleotide RNA transcript. It is a transcript of the gene named lysine-specific demethylase JMJ26-like, with no coding region annotated. The transcript has 18 exons. The record is from RefSeq and is a predicted model, not a curated record. NCBI's taxonomy places the organism in Eukaryota, Viridiplantae, Streptophyta, Magnoliopsida, Poales, Poaceae.
CCGAGGCGCGGCGAUUCCUCCGACUCCUUCGCCGCCAGCGCCGAUUCGACCACGCGAGAUGCCGCCCAAGCGGAAGCGCGGGGGCCGGAGGCCGCGCAAGGCCCCCGCCGACCCCGCCACCAAGGGAAACAGCCAGGAAAAUGGCAACGAGGAGAUACUGCAGGCUCCUGCUAAGGAGAAUGGCGCAGAAGGAACAGCUGAGGCCUCAAGAACGACGAGAAAGCGCAGGAAGGAUCCUGUUGCUGACCCUUCUUCUCUUGGGCCUAGGACCAUGCGGCCUCGGGAGAGGCGGAAUGUUCAAGUGGUACAGGAGCCUGAGAAGACAAGAAAGAUCUAUGGCAAUUCAACCAUGUGCCAUCAGUGCCAGAGGAACGAUAGCGGAAGAGUUGUACGGUGCCUGCGCUGCAUUGGAGCAAAUAGGAGAUACAGAUACUGUGUGAAGUGCAUUAAACGCUGGUAUCCACAUUUAUCAGAGGAUGAUUUUGUGAAUAAUUGCCCAGUUUGUCGCAACAAUUGUAAUUGUAAGGCUUGUCUGCGGGGAGACAUUACCAGAGUCAGCUCCAAGAGGGGUAAGAAGUCUCCCGAGAUAAAGGCUAAUGAAUGGAGUGUAUCUGUAGAAGAUAAAAUUAAAUUCUCUACGCGUGCUCUGCGCUUUCUGCUCCCUUGGCUGAAAGAAUUUCACCAAGAGCAGAUGCUAGAGAGAAGUGUUGAGGCCUCGAUUAGAGGAAUUGAUCCGGGCAAAAUGGAGGUUCCUCUAGUUAAGUGUGAAAGCGACGAACGGAUAUACUGUGACAAGUGCAGGACAUCUAUUGUUGACUUCCACAGAAGUUGCAGCAAAUGCUCCUACGAUCUCUGCCUCAGCUGCUGCCGGGAACUUCGUCAAGGCCUUACUCCUGUUGGUGAUGUCACUAGUGGCAAGGUUACUAGCCUACCUGAUGCUGGAGGCAAGGAAGAUUUGCAUCAUGGAAGUAGUGAUGAUAAAGUUGCAAGUCAAGAGCCUUCUGAUGGACAUAAUGACAUGUUGAUAGAUAGUGCAGUUCCUUCUGAGGACCACACUCCUAAUUUGAGACAAUGGAGGGUAAAUAACAAUGGAAGCAUACCUUGCCCACCGAAUGAAUUUGGUGGUUGUGGAAGUUCUCUUCUUGAACUUAAGUGUUUGUUUGAGGAGAAGUUUAUUGUUGACUUACUGGAGAAAGCCAAUUCAGUGGUCAACAAUGGAACAAUGCUGGAGUUGGGAGGUUCAAAAUGUUCCUGCUUCACUGAAUCCAGUGACAUGAACGAUGCAACAUCACGGAAAUCAGCUUGUAGAGAGAACUCCCAUGAUAACCACAUAUAUUGUCCAACUGCUAGAGACGUUCAAAAUGGAAGUUUGGAUCAUUUCCAGGAGCACUGGUUGAAGGGUCAUCCUGUUAUUGUCCGUGAUACACUUGCAUUGACUUCUGGAUUGAGCUGGGAACCAAUGGUUAUGUGGCGGGCCUUACGAGAAAAGAGAGACAAAAAGAAAGAUGAGCGACUCUCAGUUAUUGCUCUUGAAUGUUUGACGUGGUGUGAGGUUGAUAUUAAUAUUCAUAUGUUUUUUGAUGGAUAUUCCCGUGGAGCUGUUGGCCCAGAGGAUCUGCCUGUGUUACUUAAGCUGAAAGAUUGGCCACAACAUAGCUCCUUUGAGGAUCGACUGCCACGACAUAAUACUGAAUUCAUGUCUGCUUUGCCAUUUCGUGAAUACACAGACCCUAAAUCUGGCCCUCUCAAUCUGGCAGUGAAGCUGCCCGAAAAUGUUAAAAAGCCAGACCUUGGUCCAAAGACUUAUAUUGCUUACGGUGUUGCCCAAGAGUUGGGAAUUGGUGAUUCUGUUACCAAGAUUCAUUGUGACAUGUCUGAUGCGGUCAAUAUCCUAACGCAUACUGAUGAAAUAAAGCUCAAAGUCCAAAGGAUUACAGCUAUAGAGAGAAAGAAAGAGAGCUUAAGCAAAAAGGAAGAGAAUGGAAAUUGCCAAGUUUCACAAACAGAUCCUGAAUCAACCAUGAGGGCAAGACGUAAAGGGUUGAAAAGUGGCUCAAACAUGAGGCGGUCAGUACUAGAUGUUGCAUCGGAGGAGCAGGCAGGUGUUCAAAAAGCUGUGGUAGCAGUUGAAGCUGAGGGAAACUUGACUGAGGCAAAUGGACAAGUCUCCAAUCAAAGCGAUGCAGAUCAUAUGGAUGUUUCUUUUUCUGAAGGGAAAGCAGAAUAUUCUUUCUGCACAACCAACAGGGGAGAGAAGGUUGGAAAUGGUUCCAGCAGUGAAGAUAAAAGUGGAUCUCCAAAUGAUGUUGAGGGACAAUGUGAACCUAAGGUGGGUGCAAUUGCCAUAUCUCUUGAGCCAAAAGACGAUAAGGCCCUAUUAGUAGAGGGGAACCAGUCAGAGGGUGGUGCAUUGUGGGAUAUCUUCAGACGGGAAGAUGUCAGCAAACUACAUGAUUAUCUAAUAAAGCAUGCAGAGGAGUUCAGGCAUUGUAAUUAUGGACCAGUGAAGCAGGUUGCUCAUCCUAUACAUGAUCAAUGCUUCUAUCUAACAAAUGAGCACAAGAAAAGGCUUAAGGAAGAAUAUGGAAUUGAACCUUGGACAUUUGAACAGAAGCUUGGUGAGGCAGUAUUUAUCCCAGCAGGAUGUCCCCACCAAGUCAGAAAUUUGAAGUCAUGUAUAAAGGUUGCACUUGAUUUUGUUUCACCGGAAAAUGUGCAAGAGUGCAUCAGGCUGACAGAAGAAUUUCGCCUGCUUCCGAAGGGGCAUAGGGUGAACGAAGAUAAACUAGAGGUAAAGAAGAUAGCUCUUCAUGCUCUCAACCAAGCCAUUAAGGAUGUCAGUGGGUAUGAUUGUAAGGAAAGUGUGAGGAAUGAAGCUAAAGAUGAGCCUAGCUCGAGUGAAGCUGCAGAGGUGGAGGUGCACGAGAAAUGACCAUGUCAAGUGUAGCACAAGCGCACUGUCGUUGCCUUUAGGCCUGAUUUCUCUGUGGCCUCAUGUUUUGAUAUAGAUGAAGCUGCUUUUGUGUAACUGAACUGGUGCUUUUGCAAGUAGUCUGACAACAAUACUUGUGAUGCAUCUGUCCUGGUCUUGACUUCGGCGCGUGGCGUGUCUGGGCAAGCCGGUCAUGGAGAUGGGCAGAGGAUGGCUCGCCACUUUCACUGGUUUAACCGGAUAACACAUCAUGGAUGGAUGGAUGGAUCGAUCAAUUCGGUCUCGGUAAAAGACGUGUUAAGUAGCCAGCCAAUGCAGUGCUGUAAAUUUUUCGACCGCGAUGGUUUUGUCUUGGGUCGCAGCAUGCCAAGUCAAUGAAGUACUUGUGUAUAUACAGAGACAGGCGUUGGUGAGGUGUGCAGAGCUGAAAUGGCUAGCGUUGGGUAGGAAUAUCAUACUGAUGCUCUUUACAGGCCGGCUAACAGCUGCCACGACUGGCCGGCAGGUCGCGGAGAUGAUUGGAGUGAAUAUACACUUCUAUUUGAAGGAAUUCGUGAAGUGAAAGGAGAGAGAAUCUCGAUCUAAAGAGAAUAAAUUUGAGAAUCUCCAACCAUAUUUCAUUCAUUU